CUUCUCUGGAACUGAACUUCCUAGGUCCUUCACUCAUACAUGCCUUGUCCUUAUUCCUAAAAUUGAUAGUCCUCAGCAAUUCACUGAUUUGAGACAUGGGUUUUUUAAAUCAUCCAGAGGUUUGAAGCAGGGGGUCCACUAUCUCCCUCUCUUUUUGUCAUUGGUGCUGAAUUACUAUCCUACAUGAUGGAUCAAUUGAUACAUGAUAACUUCAUCCCUUUCUCUAUGGAUAAUGAAAGCCCCUUAAUCACUCAUCUUACAUAUGCUGAUGACACCAUCCUCUUCUCCUCUGAUGACUUGCUUUCCAUUGCCAUGAUGAUAAACAAGUUGGAGAAAUAUGAACAAAUCUCAGGCCAAAUGGUGAAUAAAAGGAAAUCUGCUUUCAUGGUAUCUUCUAAUACUCCACUCCUUGUAAUUGAGGACAUCAAAGCUAUCACUAGUUUUUCCCAUUCCCACUUCCCUUUUACUUAUUUGGGGUGUCCAAAAAAAAAUGCUAUUUUGAAAAUAUGGUGGCUAAAAUAACAAACAGAACUCAGGGAUGGAAAGGGAAGAUUCUUUCCAUUGGGGUUAGAGCAGUCCUUAUUAGGUCUCUAUUGCAUUCUCUCUCUUUACAUAUCAUAUAUGUUGUGUAUCCACCAAAAAGUACCCUUGAUUAUAUUAAAAAAUCUCUUGCUAGUUUUUUUUUUGGGGAACAUCAGAGUGCAAGAGGAUCUAUCAUUGGUUUUCUGGAAAAAUUUAUGUUAUCCUAAGGUGGAGGGAGGGGUAGGUUUUAGGUCAUCGCAUGAAAUCUACAUUUCGUUUGCUGCUAAAUCAUGGUGGAACUUCAGGACUCAAAAAUCUCUUCUCACCCUCUUCUUGGAAGCUAAAUAUUGCAAAAGAUAUCAUCCAGUUGCUAGAAAAAAAAGCUAUUCUCAGUCACACAUUUGGAGACGGCUAAUGGACAUCAAGGAGGAUUGUGAAGAUCAUAUUUUGUGAAAAGUAGAGAAAGGUAACCUCUCAUUUUGGUGGGAUAACUGAACUAACAAAGGUGCUCUUGCUAAGCUAAUCCAACAUGAAAACAAGUCCAAAAAGACAAAAAUGGCUGAUUUUAUCUCUCACUACCAAUGGAUGCUGGAUAAACUUCAUGAUACCCUCCCCUCUCAUCUGGUAUCUCAUAUUCAGUCCAUUAAGAUUUCACCAGAAGAGAAUGAUCGGCAUAUCUGGCUUGCUAAUCCUUCUGGAUCUUUCACUAGUAAAUCAGCUUGGGAAACAUUUAAAAAAUCAAGAGAUUUAAUGUACAUGGGCCAUCAAGAUGUUAUUGUUGCGCCAUUUGCAACAUUGAAACUACUAAUCAUUUAUUCUAUGAGGGGAAUAUUGCUAUCAAAGUUUGGAAAUACUUUGAAGAUGCGUGUGGUUUGUCUACUUGUUCUACUCGAGGCAUCAGGGAUAAAUUCAUCAAAUGGUGGCUCAUCAAACAGAAAAAAGUACAUGAAAUGAUAUUGCAAUACCUCCCUUCUGUUAUCUGUUGGGAAAUCUGAAAAUAUAGAUGUACUUAUAAAUAUGAAGGUAUUAGAGGCUUUAUUGCCCGAGUCAUUCAUCAGAUUACCACCAUGAUGCAGUUGCUGCUUUCUACUCAAUUUCCCUCUCUAUCUUUGUAUCUCUAUUCCCAAAGAUAUCGCAUAUGGUAGAUAGAAUCAAGCCCCAAUUAAAUAUUAUACCUGUGAGCUGAAAAAAACCUGCAAUAGGGGAUCUCAAAUUAAAUGUCAAUGGGUGUAGCAAAGGGAACCCUGGUAACGCACGAGGUGGAGGGAUCCUGAGGAAUCAUCUUGGUCAUAUGAUUAUGGCAUUCACUGUGUAUCUUGGUUGUUGUUCGAACAACUCUGCUCAAGCUCAAGCAAUCAAAACUGGUUUGAGAUGGUGUUUAGAUCAUGGUUUCAACAUGGUAACAAUAGAGUCAGACUCUUUCCUUAUGAUUCAGAUAAUUAAAGGAAAUAUCACCACUUCUUGGCAUAUCAAGGAUGAAAUAUCAGAGAUUCAAGCUAUGAACCUAGUUGGACAUUUUCAAUUUGUUCACACUUUCAGAGCCCACUUGGCCAGGUGAUAAGAGCAUUAGGAAUGGGGAAGGUAAUUCAAUCUAACGACAUCAAGUUUUCAGAGGGAGAUAUAGUACUUAGCCGUAUUUGCCCUGUUUCAGAAUUUGGUGUUAUGCCCUCAAAUUUGAUUCAGAAGAUUACUGCUGCAAUUGGGAUUGCGUUGCCUGAUUAUCUUAGUUGCUUAGGUGAAGCUGUUGAAAGAAGAAUGUGGCUACGACGAUGCUU
Nicotiana tabacum (common tobacco) is the source of this 2297-nucleotide non-coding RNA. The record is from RefSeq and is a predicted model, not a curated record. NCBI's taxonomy places the organism in Eukaryota, Viridiplantae, Streptophyta, Magnoliopsida, Solanales, Solanaceae.